This 424-nucleotide ribosomal RNA is filed under the name uncultured prokaryote. RNAcentral describes it as "bacterial SSU rRNA". It matches the Rfam family "Bacterial small subunit ribosomal RNA", at positions 355 to 796 of the family's 1533-position model. The record is from RNAcentral.
UGGGGAAUCAUAGACAAUGGGGGAAACCCUGAUCCAGCCAUGCCGCGUGAGUGAUGAAGGCCCUAGGGUUGUAAAGCUCUUUUACCCGCGAAGAUAAUGACGGUAGCGGGAGAAUAAGCUCCGGCUAACUCCGUGCCAGCAGCCGCGGUAAUACGGAGGGAGCUAGCGUUGUUCGGAAUUACUGGGCGUAAAGCGCGCGUAGGCGGCUAUUUAAGUCAGAGGUGAAAGCCCGGGGCUCAACCCCGGAACUGCCUUUGAAACUAGAUAGCUAGAAUCCUGGAGAGGUGAGUGGAAUUCCGAGUGUAGAGGUGAAAUUCGUAGAUAUUCGGAAGAACACCAGUGGCGAAGGCGACUCACUGGACAGGUAUUGACGCUGAGGUGCGAAAGCGUGGGGAGCAAACAGGAUUAGAUACCCCGGUAGUCC